CGGUAAUUCUGUCGGAAAAGUUGCAGUUGGUGUUUGGAGUCUGAUUUGGAAAAGAUCCUGGCUGGGAUAGUCUUUGUCAGCUCCCUCCUUAUUGAUGUGUUAUAGCUGGACUGCGAAGUUUUCAUGUGAUGGAGGCAGAAUUUGUCUUAUACUACUACUCCCCUUCUCUCAAAGUUCCUUACACAACUUGACCAACGCACUGAGCAGCUCAUGAAAGUGUUGAAGAACAAAGGAGGCUCUGCAGGGAGGAAAUCAGGAUCAUU
Long non-coding RNA from Perca fluviatilis (European perch), 263 nucleotides. RefSeq lists it as uncharacterized. Lineage: Eukaryota; Metazoa; Chordata; Actinopteri; Perciformes; Percidae. The transcript has 3 exons. The record is from RefSeq and is a predicted model, not a curated record.